This 490-nucleotide ribosomal RNA is filed under the name uncultured bacterium. RNAcentral describes it as "partial 16S ribosomal RNA". It matches the Rfam family "Bacterial small subunit ribosomal RNA", at positions 30 to 507 of the family's 1533-position model. The record is from RNAcentral.
AUUGAACGCUGGCGGCAGGCCUAACACAUGCAAGUCGAACGGUAACAGGAAGAAGCUUGCUUCUUUGCUGACGAGUGGCGGACGGGUGAGUAAUGUCUGGGAAACUGCCUGAUGGAGGGGGAUAACUACUGGAAACGGUAGCUAAUACCGCAUAACGUCGCAAGACCAAAGAGGGGGACCUUCGGGCCUCUUGCCAUCGGAUGUGCCCAGAUGGGAUUAGCUAGUAGGUGGGGUAACGGCUCACCUAGGCGACGAUCCCUAGCUGGUCUGAGAGGAUGACCAGCCACACUGGAACUGAGACACGGUCAAGACUCCUACGGGAGGCAGCAGUGGGGAAUAUUGCACAAUGGGCGCAAGCCUGAUGCAGCCAUGCCGCGUGUAUGAAGAAGGCCUUCGGGUUGUAAAGUACUUUCAGCGGGGAGGAAGGGAGUAAAGUUAAUACCUUUGCUCAUUGACGUUACCCGCAGAAGAAGCACCGGCUAACUCCGUG